RNAcentral lists this long non-coding RNA (300 nucleotides) under Homo sapiens (human). RNAcentral's name for it is "HSALNT0042325". The record is from RNAcentral. Lineage: Eukaryota; Metazoa; Chordata; Mammalia; Primates; Hominidae.
GGGAGUUACCCUCGGCUGGUGAAUGUAGGCAGGCCUGGCUGAGGGUGGUGAGACUGCGAGGGACAGGUGAGAGAUGAAGCUCAGAAGACAUCUUUGCAGAGAUGUGGAGAAGACAGGAGGAAGUCCUUCCUAAAAUAAACCUGACCUCCUAUUGCUGGUAUUUAUGCAGCUUUGACCAGGACCUGGUAACAGAUGUGGAUGGACUUGAACCACCAACUCAGCUUAGAAGGAAGCCAAGACUUAAAGUUUCCUAGAUCCCAGCUUCAAGGCUUUUUCUACCCCUGAAGGAUUGUAAGCUGC